GAAUUCUUCCACAUAAUAUUCAGGACCAGAGUCAAGAUCUCAACCUCUGUACAUCCUGCCAUCCUGACAAGUUUUUCUCCCAUGUCCGAGAUGGCCUUAACUUUGGUACACAGAUUGGCUUCAUAUCAAUUAGAGAAUGAGGUACUUGAUUGGAUUUUUGAAUAACUGCUUCCUGCCUCCUUCCAAAUUGACAGCAAGAGAGAAAUUUAGCUGAUUGCUUUAUGUAAAAACCAAGAAGAUUACAGUGGAGAAUCCAUCUUUAGGGAUCCCUGUCGAUCUCAAGCAUUUCUUGAUAGGUUUCUUGAACUUUUACGGUACAGAACAAUGAUAAUUUCUAGUAACUUAAGGUUUGUUUUUAAUCUAAGCACUGUUACUAACUGCAUGUUGACGAUUGCCAUUUAUUAAUAGGAGAAAUUAAGGUAAUAAAUCAUGGAACAAC
Molecule: non-coding RNA, 439 nt
Organism: Castor canadensis (American beaver)
Lineage: Eukaryota; Metazoa; Chordata; Mammalia; Rodentia; Castoridae
Source: RefSeq, a predicted model, not a curated record